RNAcentral lists this ribosomal RNA (253 nucleotides) under uncultured bacterium. RNAcentral describes it as "partial 16S ribosomal RNA". It matches the Rfam family "Bacterial small subunit ribosomal RNA", at positions 524 to 776 of the family's 1533-position model. The record is from RNAcentral.
UACGAAGGGGGCUAGCGUUGUCCGGAUUUACUGGGCGUAAAGGGCGCGUAGGCGGUCCGGUAAGCGUGUGGUGAAAGCUCGGGGCUCAACCCCGAGUCGGCCAUGCGAACUGCGGGACUGGAGCAUGUCAGAGGCAGGCGGAAUUCCGGGUGUAGCGGUGGAAUGCGUAGAGAUCCGGAAGAACACCGGUGGCGAAGGCGGCCUGCUGGGACAUUGCUGACGCUGAGGCGCGACAGCGUGGGGAGCAAACAGG